AGGCCUUUUUUAGAAUGCAUACAAACGGAACCAUAUCUAAGUGAUGUCUGGCUUUUUUAACUUAGCACAAUGCUUUGAGAUUCAUACUAUUGUGUUUAAUUAGUAAUUCAUUUGUGUUAUUGCUGAAUGGUAGUCUAUCAUACGGGUAAGCCACAGUUUAUUUAUCCAUUCACCAAUUGAUGGGCCUGUCGGUUGUAGGGAACAGGAGAAAACUUCCCCUUUGCCCUCUGAAGGGUCACCGAAAAUCAACUGACAAGGCUGGGCCUGGCAUCCUGCCUGUAACCCCAGCCCUUUUUUAGCCCAAGGCAGGAGGAUCUCUUCUUUGUGAAGUGUGUAUUCAAAUCUUUUGACCAUUUAUUUAUUAGCUAGCUUGACUUUUUAUCUAAGAGUUCUUUAUAUAUUAUUGAGUUCUUUAUAUGUUUCAUACCAUGUUCUUUAUUAGCUAUACGUUUUGAAAUGUUUUCUACCUGUCUGUGGCUUGCCUCUUCAUUUUAAGUGUCUUUUGAAGCACUGAAGUUUUAAAUUUUGAUAUAAUUUAUCCAUUUUGUUCUUUUACAUAGUUCAUACCUUUUUUGUCCUACUUAAGACAUUUUUGCUAAAUUCAAGAUUAUAAGAUUUCCUCAUUUGUUACCUUCUGGAAGUUUUAUAAUUGUUGGUCUUCAUUAUAUUUAAAAUGAAUUAUUCUUUAUAGUAUCGAUAGAUGCUGGAGGCAGAUAAGGGAGGGUCCCUGGAGAAUCUCUGACCUGCCCCACAAGCUUUUGUGCAGCUGAGGAAGCCUGCCCAGGGUCUUGUCUGGGCAUGCCCACAAGGGACUUGGGGGCCCACUGCACCGGGAGAGUGGGGUGCAGCCAGAGGGAAUUCAGCCUUAUGCAGCAGGGAGGAGCAAGAAGUCUUCAGCUUGUGUGUGUUGGCCUGUUAUUCAGUCUGUGAGCUGGGAGCCUGUUGGCAGGACCCUCCUUGUUUUUUUGCUGAGAGCUUUUAAUAAAUGCCACUCUUCACCUUGCAAUGUAUUCACAUGCCUAAUUGUUCCUGGUCAUGAGACAAGAACCUGGAUUUUAGCUGAGCUAAGGAGCAAAAAUUCCUGCAUCAGUAUGAGUGUUCUGAUGGUGAGGUGUCCAGGUCUUGGCACAUUGAACAAAGAAUUGAACAACACACAUGAACAAGCGGUGAAGGAGUGAAUUUAUGAAAGUGGAAGACAGUGGGCCGGGCGCAGUGUCACACCUGUAAUCCCAGCACUUUGGGAGGCCGAGACAGGCGGAUCACGAGGUGUAAGGAAGAACAGAAGGAUCCAAGUGUGAGAAAGCCCACCCUGAGUCUCUCAGAGAUUCAUUUCACUACCAGGUCAAAGACACAAUCAAAAGCCCGACAAAUGGAAUUUGUGGAAUUGGAACAAAAAGCUUUUCUUCCUAGGCACAAGAACAUCAAAGCAUAAAUCCUUCAGGUAUCAGCAAUGACAUCACUUAAGAAUUUCUGAGAAUCUUUGGCACCACCCCAGGCCUACCGGAUCAGAAUCUGAAUUUUUUAACAAGAUCUCAGAUCUAGUCAAGAGUCCAAUCUGAUUUCUCUUUAUUGGGACUACCACCCAAAGCAGAAUGAGGAUGAUGUAACCACGCCCAGUGACUUCUGGAUACCACUGACUCUAGGCAUUUUGCAGAUCCUGAAUUCCAGCAGAAUGGCUGACACCAACUGGUCUGAAGACCCUCACCAAGGAACUGACUCAGUGCAGGAAUGCAGUUUCUUCAUCUCCCUAUCCCUGACUUCACCCCUCACUUCUCAACCAAUCAGUGAUCACCACACUUUAGGCCAUCGCCUGUGUCCAGACCCCUUAAAAACCCCAUCUGCAAACCUCUUGAAGAGGCAUAUUUGAGGUUUCCUCUCAUCUCCUCAUUUGGUUUCCCUACAAUUAUUAAAUUCUUUCUCUGCUGCAACUCCUACUUUUUCAGUGUAUUGGUCUGUUACUGUGCAACAGGAAAUCAGACCUGGUGGUCCUAUAGUAAGAGUUCACAGAAUAUGAUAUACAAAGUGAUCUGUGAUAUACAAAAACCGGCACAGUCUCACUCUUAAUAAGAAAAAUUCAACCUAAAAUUAAAAGUUUUUUUUCCUCAGAAUGGCAAAGAUCAAAGUUUGAUAACAUGGUUGGAAAGUAUGCAGACCGAUAUUCUCAUAUUCAUUGAUGAAGUGUAAAUUGAUACAUCCUUUGUCAGUACGCACAGGUUUCCCAACUCUAGGGGUGAAAUUUAUACAGACUACAGUGUGAAUGACAACCACUUCAAAUUGGGUGAUAUGAUGACCUUGACUCUGUGGAGGGUCAUUUGGCAAAAUAUCUCAAAAUAAAAAUGUACAUACAAUUUGA
Long non-coding RNA from Pan troglodytes (chimpanzee), 2353 nucleotides. RefSeq lists it as uncharacterized. NCBI's taxonomy places the organism in Eukaryota, Metazoa, Chordata, Mammalia, Primates, Hominidae. The transcript has 7 exons. The record is from RefSeq and is a predicted model, not a curated record.